This 497-nucleotide ribosomal RNA is filed under the name uncultured bacterium. RNAcentral describes it as "partial 16S ribosomal RNA". It matches the Rfam family "Bacterial small subunit ribosomal RNA", at positions 28 to 523 of the family's 1533-position model. The record is from RNAcentral.
GAUGAACGCUGGCGGCGUGCUUAACACAUGCAAGUCGAACGAAGCACUCUACUUGAUCUCUUCGGAGUGAUUGUUUUGUGACUGAGUGGCGGACGGGUGAGUAACGCGUGGGUAACCUGCCUCAUACAGGGGGAUAACAGUUGGAAACGACUGCUAAUACCGCAUAAGCGCACAGCAUCGCAUGAUGCAGUGUGAAAAACUCCGGUGCUAUGAGAUGGACCCGCGUCUGAUUAGCCAGUUGGUGGGGUAACGGCCUACCAAAGCGACGAUCAGUAGCCGACCUGAGGGGGUGACCGGCCACAUUGGGACUGAGACACGGGCCGAACUCCUACGGGAGGCAGCAGUGGGGAAUAUUGCACAAUGGGGGAAACCCUGAUGCAGCGACGCCGCGUGAGCGAAGGAGUAUUUCGGUAUGUAAAGCUCUAUCAGCAGGGAAGAAGAAAUGACGGUACCUGACUAAGAAGCACCGGCUAAAUACGUGCCAGCCGCCGCGGUAA